This 220-nucleotide long non-coding RNA is filed under the name Panax ginseng (ginseng). RNAcentral describes it as "long non-coding RNA (PGIN_LNC013518)". Lineage: Eukaryota; Viridiplantae; Streptophyta; Magnoliopsida; Apiales; Araliaceae. The record is from RNAcentral.
AUUAAGACUCCAAUAUCCCCAAUUAUGAAUUAUAAAUCAAUUAUUCAACUAUUCCAAUUAUUAUGUCUACUAAAUUGUUAACAGGAAUUCUCAAAUGCCAAAAGCCUUCUCUCGAGUGAUCAAUUACCUUCUAUUUAACCCAGAUUAAUUUUGCUAUAUCUCUAUGCAAAACAAUUGAAUUAAACUCGCUACAAUCCCAAUUCCUUAUGUGUUACAUGNN